This 692-nucleotide ribosomal RNA is filed under the name uncultured bacterium. Its description in RNAcentral is "bacterial SSU rRNA". It matches the Rfam family "Bacterial small subunit ribosomal RNA", at positions 62 to 746 of the family's 1533-position model. The record is from RNAcentral.
UCGAGGGGCAGCACGAUGUAGCAAUACAUUGGUGGCGACCGGCGCACGGGUGAGUAACGCGUAUGCAACCUACCUAUCAGAGGGGAAUAACCCGGCGAAAGUCGGACUAAUACCGCAUAAAACAGGGGUUCCACAUGGAAAUAUUUGUUAAAGAAUUAUCGCUGAUAGAUGGGCAUGCGUUCCAUUAGAUAGUUGGUGAGGUAACGGCUCACCAAGUCCACGAUGGAUAGGGGUUCUGAGAGGAAGGUCCCCCACACUGGUACUGAGACACGGACCAGACUCCUACGGGAGGCAGCAGUGAGGAAUAUUGGUCAAUGGGCGAGAGCCUGAACCAGCCAAGUCGCGUGAAGGAUGAAGGAUCUAUGGUUUGUAAACUUCUUUUAUAUGGGAAUAAAGUGAGGAACGUGUUCCUUUUUGUAUGUACCAUAUGAAUAAGCAUCGGCUAACUCCGUGCCAGCAGCCGCGGUAAUACGGAGGAUGCGAGCGUUAUCCGGAUUUAUUGGGUUUAAAGGGUGCGUAGGUGGUUAAUUAAGUCAGCGGUGAAAGUUUGUGGCUCAACCAUAAAAUUGCCGUUGAAACUGGUUAACUUGAGUAUAUUUGAGGUAGGCGGAAUGCGUGGUGUAGCGGUGAAAUGCAUAGAUAUCACGCAGAACUCCGAUUGCGAAGGCAGCUUACUAAACUAUAACUGACAC